Cynara cardunculus var. scolymus (artichoke) is the source of this 443-nucleotide long non-coding RNA. RefSeq lists it as uncharacterized. The record is from RefSeq and is a predicted model, not a curated record. The transcript is spliced from 2 exons. Lineage: Eukaryota; Viridiplantae; Streptophyta; Magnoliopsida; Asterales; Asteraceae.
CCAUCACCAUCACCAUCACCAUCACCAUCACCGUCGCGCAACCGUCCACCGAGAUCGUAACUGGUGAUCGUUAGCUGAACUUCAACUGACUUCAGAACCGAAAUUCGCUGCACAGCCUGGAUGAAGAAUCGAAAAGGAAUGAUGAGGUUACCAAAAGGUUUGGCCGUUCAGCUAGAAGUGAGUUCAAGGGAUGCCGAUUCCGAGUAGAGACGGAGCGCCGCUGCGCUUUGCCUGAGGUGAACUCUAUCUUCAUUUUCCGGAUUCGUAUUUCGAUCGGUUAUCCUUUAGUUUCAAAUACGACGUACGCUAUGUGUAUAUGAGUUUGAUAACUGAUAAUAUGCCUGCCACAUGUUCGAGUUAUUGUUUCUUUGGUCCGUUAUUUUUACCUCAUUGUUCAUGAUCGUCACGAUGUCAGAUCUAUAAAAAAUACUUUGCUAGUUGCA